Molecule: unclassified non-coding RNA, 157 nt
Filed under: plant metagenome
Description: partial contains small subunit ribosomal RNA and internal transcribed spacer 1
Rfam family: Eukaryotic small subunit ribosomal RNA (bases 1-46)
Source: RNAcentral
AAGUCGUAACAAGGUCUCCGUAGGUGAACCUGCGGAGGGAUCAUUACUGAAUGGCUCCGGCCUUCAGCCUUCAAACCUGUGGAAGCAAACCGUGCUUCGGGGCUGGCCCGGCCACUAUUAGCAAGCAGUUGUUCUGAAUCAAAAGCAAGAAUUAAAA